Long non-coding RNA from Musa acuminata AAA Group (dessert banana), 4164 nucleotides. RefSeq lists it as uncharacterized. The record is from RefSeq and is a predicted model, not a curated record. The transcript has 3 exons. Lineage: Eukaryota; Viridiplantae; Streptophyta; Magnoliopsida; Zingiberales; Musaceae.
UUUUCUGUUCCCCACUCUCGCGGAUGAGCAUCGCUUUCCGGGGAGAGAGAGGUUGCAAGGAAGCUUGCGACGAUGCGAGGAAGAGCCGCCUUCUUCUGCUUGGCGCGCCCCCGCCCUCUUCUUGCUCGCUGGAAUUGUUCGUCGUUCUCCGCCUCGUCCCCUCAGGAUCUCUCGACGGUGGCCGCGUGCCCCUAUUGUGGCUGUUGGAACUCGAUAACGUAGCAGGAACCCAGCCGAGGUGGUCGCUUGCCCUGAUCGAAUGAGCGCCUGUGUCUUUGAUCCGUUUCCAAGCUUUUGGUAACCACCCUAACCAAUUUGAUUGAUUUCCUCCUCCUUUCUUCUCUUUUGCAUUUGAAAUUCUAUUAUGAUAAACAUGUAGUUUUCUCCUUCAAUUUUAUUGCAAAUAUCUUGCAGAACAUACAUGAUAUACUUAGGUGAGAGAAUGAGAAAGAUAUCCAUUUUACAUGUAUUUAAAUAUAUCAAGGGAAAUGUGAGGAGGGUGCGUAUCUAUUAUGAUUGUUCGUCUCCUUGCAAUGAUCAACUUCUGACUGGGAUAAGACUAGGCAUCUACUGAUUUAGCAUUUUAUGUGGGCAAAGAUUAGGGCCUUGCAUCUAAGUUCUUGUAAUUAGAAAAUUUAAUGCAUAUAUCCAAGCUUUAAAAUAUGGAAUUAUUCAGAACUUUGUAAUAAAAAAGAGUUGUACUGAAAUUCUUGGUGGUUGUCCAGUUAUACAAAUUAAUAUACUUUGUAAAACGUUUGGGUGUAGAGCAUGUAUCCAACAUGUUGGUCGCUACAUGUGCUAAGGAGUCGAUGAAAAGACAUAGAUAGCACCAUUAGGACUUUCAAUGAUAAAUCGAGCUUCUACAGGAUUUGGUGGCAUAUCACUGAGAUGGUGGGAGCCAUUUUGAAUUUUCUUUUGUUGUAUGUCAUGUUUCUUUCAGGUUGAAAAAGUUCUUGAUCAUUCUUCUCUCUUUUACAUUUUAAUAUUUCCAUGAGUCACCCGAUGGUGUGUUCAAUUGAUUAUGCUAAUAUGUUUGCCCUGAGAAAAUUAAACAUGUUGCUACAAUGAAACAAGAACUUGUCCGGUGCAUGAUUUAUAAAAGGUAGAUUAGUCUCGUGGGGGAGCAUCAAAUGAGACGGUUACUUCCUUUUAAAAAGAUCUUGUAGUUUCCUUGAGAUCAUGGACAAAUAAUUCAAAAGGCAAUUUGCCCCACUAAGUGCUGCUAACUUAAGUAGGACUUGGUUAUUCUCAGGCCAGUGUUGCCGGUAAGUAGGGAACAAAUGAGACCAGAGGAUAACCUCUGAAAUUAUAUCUAUGAUGAAGAUUUGCUUUAGGAAACAAUCACUUUCCAGAAGUUUGUACUAUUUUUGUAUGUCUUCAGCUAAGGUGCAUCAAGUGCAGAACUGAAAGACCAGAGGUAUGCUGCUUAGAUUGCAGCUUAGAUUGCAAUUUGCAAUGUAUACAAUGUGGUGAUUAUGUUAGUGCAUCCUCACUUGUGCUUUGGCCCAAACCUGCAUUAAGAAAUUUCAUCAACCAGCAUUAAGUUCAAUCUUCUGUUUUCGUAUUAAUGCUAUCAGUUCAAUUGACAUUUUAGCAUAAAAUUUUCUAGCAAGGAAUAUAUGAUCUCUCUUUUAUCCUAUGCUUAGCAGCUAGGAAUGACUGUCCUUAUAUUGUGAGUUCCACGACUUAAGUAGUUUUCUAAUACUCAGGUUUAGGUAUUGAGAUUGAAACUUCAUGCAUUGUCUUUUCCAGAAUUUGCCACAGCAUAACAUUGUGAGACAGUAGUAUAGAUGGCCAAGUUUAGGCUUAGGACAUUGGCCAUAUGGAGGGAGAAAUUGAAGAGAGUUUUAUGGAAACGAAGAAUGAGGUACUCUUUACAAAUGUUUUCUGUGUAGGGAUAAUCACGGUUAUGCAUGUUCCUCACCUUUAGAUCAAGAUUCUGGAUGUUAAGACUAAUUGUUUUUAAAGAAAGUUUAUUAUGUCGGUUAUUUGGUAUUAAGCUUCUUAGUAUAGGAGAAGUAUAUUAUGUCAUUAUUUAAAUAUAUUUCAUUGUAGUGAUGCACUUUAUUCCAUUAUUCUCUUUAUCUUUUUUCCUGUAUGUGGUUGUUUUAUAUCGCCUAUUGAUUCUCAUUGAUGGAUGUCUGACAUAAAAAAUUCAACUUAAUGCUGAUUAUGAUCAAAAUUAUUUAUACUCUUCAUGACAUUUUAAAUUCUAUUAUGCUAUUUGAGAUUCUGCAUUAUGCAUUUAUCAAAAUUUUACUAUCUAUUUGUCACAUUAUGCUAUUUCAGACGUCUUCAUUUCAACUACUAUAGAACCUUUGUUUAAUAGGAGUAACUUCUCCUAUGGUUACAGUGUUAUUAAGCCCUUCUCAUUACUUGAUGAAGUAUUCUUUCAUUUUACUCUGUUUUAAAAUAUUUAUCCUAAAUUCUCAUAUUUACUUGCUUGUGCGUAAGUUUUGUAUUAGGCAGUGAUUUAAAAAGCGUUAUGCGUCAAGUCCCGAAAAUGUUCAAAACGCCAGGUGCUCAUCUAAACGCUUGCCCGAGCAAAGCGAGAAACUCUGAAAUAUUAAAAUAUAAAAAUAUAUAAUAUAAUUGAUAAAUAUGAUUAUAUAAAUAAAAAUACGACAUUAAACUACUGUUAACAGUAGUUGGAGGGGGAGAAAAGAACUGUUAAGAGGGGGAGAAAAAGUUAUCGAUUGUGGAACUUUCGAACGACAAUUGCUGCGGUGGAGGAAGCUGCAGAUGGCGGUAGCGGUAGUAGUGGAAGUUGUGGAUGGCAAUAGCGACAACGGUAGAAGCUAUAGAUGAUGACAUCAUGGGUGGAGGAAGCUUCAAAGGUGUCCGUUGGUGGCGGAGGAAGCUAUGAUCUUCUCCCUCGAUGAUGGAAGGAGUUGCACACAGAAGCAGCGACAGCAGAAGGAAGUUGCGGGCAAAGGCUAGGCUAUCAGACCUGUCCAUUGGCGACAAAAGAAGCCUCGGUCUAUUGCAUUUGCGGCAAACCAAAUGUAAAACUUUGUUUCGGUUGCUUCAUUUAAAUCAGGCGCUUACUUGAGGCACUCAACGCUUGGGUUCAGGCGAGCGCUCAGGCCACACCUCACUGAAGCGCGUCGCUUGGUCCACCUUGAGGCAGUUAGGCCUUACCUCCCCCAAGCACCUAGGCGAGCGCUCGAGCAUCUAUUUAUAACCCAUUGAUACAUGAGAGAUUCAAAUUUGUGAUAUUUUGUAAUCUUGUCUUCAUUAUUACUUAUUCACCGAUGCAAUUGUUUCUUACAUUGUCACCUUUGUUAGACAUGGAUUUUAGUAUAAACUUGGUUGAUAAAGAAAAUUCUGGCAAUAGCUGGUAUUAUAGCCAACUUGUGAUUUAGCUGGCUAUUAUAGAAAGAAAAAUAAAAAUGAUAAAAAUUAUAUAAUUAAAGGUUAAUUGUUGGAUAGAAUUAUUUACCUGGUUCGUUGUUACUUGAAGAGUAAAAUUUUAAAACAAAUGCAUACUUUGUAAGAACUUUUAAUACAUAAUAAAAAUAUUUUCUAAUGUUCAUAAAAUACAUUUAAAUAUUAAUAGUUUUUACAGUAAUUUUACGUAUUAAAUAAAAUUUAUGUAUUAAAUAAUAAUAAUAAUAAUAAUAAUAAUAAUUUUUAUACAGUAAACACAUCUUGAUUGAUAAAACACGUCAGUUAGAUAUUUAGUGAUGCACUUUCUCAAUAAUAAGAUUAUAAGAUAAAUUUCUCAUGAUGGAAUCGAACAUGUUUGGUUUACUAAUAACUAUACAUAUAUUUAAAAACUAAUAUGAUAAAUUACAUCAAUAUCAUUGAUUUAAUCUAAAAAAUAAAAAAAAAAUAUUAAUAACAAUCACCGGAAUGAACUUUAAUUUCACUUUGAACCUUUUGUUAUAGAAUAAUAACUUAUUAAAUAAUAAUAUAUUAAUACAUUAGUGACUUAUUUUGUCUUUAGAUGCGUGCUGGUAGUAAUUUAGAAUUAUUUUUACAUUUUAUAAAAUUUUGUUAUUUUUACACUCUUAAUACAUUAGUGACCUUUAACAUGAUAGUGUUUAUUAAUAAGCAUAUGUGACCUGCUGCUUAAGUCAUAUAUUUUUUCUAAUUCUUACAUUCUUAAGGUGUCGAAUGUUAUCAGUGGUUUGUCAAAUGUCAUAUGGGAUUUCGUAGUGA